UAUUUUCUUUUUGGCAUUAUGUAUUGCUAACAUGUUUUUAAUUGUAUUCUCUACCCACACUCUGGUACUUCUACAAUGUCAUUUUUUUAAUUCAGCUCUACUGUGAGAAAUGGAGUGUAUAUAUAUAUAUAUAUAUAUAUGUGUGUAGAGUGUCAUUCAUUAUUGCUAAUAAAAGUUGCACGCCAGACUGGAUUGCUUCGUAUUGUAAGCAAAAUGUAAUAACCACUAACAAAUGCCACUGUGCUCUGCAUGGAGUUAAUAUUUGAUGUGUGGCUUCUCUAAUUGACUUGCAGCUGAAAUUUGUAAACCCUAGGGAGCCCUUCCACAUCAAGCAUUCCAAAUAUUCCCUGAGAUCACAGCACUAUCUGAAGCUACCUGUCCAGUUCAAGCCCAGUACUGCAGGCAGACACACGGGCUUGCUGCUCAUCCAGUCAGAAACAAGUGGAAGUCUUGUUAUUCAGCUGACCGGUGAUGCAUUACCUUGAACUCACCAUCUACCAACUUACGCCACCUCCUCAUACCGACUGGGAGGAUACUGUACCAAUCAUCAUGGAGCAGACACGGGGUAACAGAGAGAACUGAAGGAAAAAAAAAAACCCAAUCAAAUAAAGGCUACCUUGAAAUCUGAUGAAAAUCUUCUCUCUCAUCAUAUUUGCUGACGUCGACUGUAGCUGUUUAACUGGAGAUGACUGAGACCUCACUGCCAACACAGACCCAUCUGCCUCUGGAUGUGGCACAGGUGUCCUCAGUUAGCCUGUGAAAAAUGAUUGUGCCUGUUAGUGCCUGAAGCUGAAGGAUUUGGUCAGGCUGGCUCACAAUUAUUCUGCACCAGUCUUGCAUUUCUGGGACUUAAAGAUUUUUUGUCACUUGACUCUGGAUCUGGUGUUUGUCUUAACCCCCAAGUCAUGUCACAAGGCAGCAUUGUUGUUGCUUUGGCCCCUGCCAGACAGUACCAGUUAGACUAUGUUGGGGAUUACUUUGAGUUGAUCACAAAGGAAUGCCUUUGUCUCUUGUUUGGUAACCCACUGCUAGGAUUCUUUUGUUUGUUUGCCUCUGGAAAAGGUAAAAAAAAUGUGUUUUAUUUCUGGAUAAAAGUAAAAAUCUUAAAAACAGGACAUGUCAUGUUUCUCCCCCUAGUUUGACACCAGAUUAAAAAAAAAAAAAAAACAUGUGUCAUGAACUUGUGAUUGGAAAAGGACAACCAGAAAUGUAUGAAUUCAUUUUUCCACCAUAUAAUCUAAGUGACUCCUCAUCAUGCAUCGCCCACCUGCAGUAACUUUUAUCAGCACCAUGUGUUGACUUCCCCAGCAACCUCCAAGGCUCGUUCCAAGCAGUCCAGAUGCAUUUCAUUUAGUCAUGAACAGGGCAGCUCGCAGCAACAUCGGGAUGCUUAAUGAUUGUUAUUACAUGCUAAAAGUGGUGGGCUUUUGUUCGGCAGCUUGCCAGGCCUGCUUAGUAUGGUUACCAUGGCAAAACAGUGUUAAUCACUGCUCCAGUCACAGAAAAUUAGCUCCCCAUUUCCUCUUCUGGCUCUUGGGCAAAUGGCCAAUAUUGCUUUGGGGUAUUGGAGUUACAUCCAUAACGGGUUUUGGCACUGGAAGGGCAUAGGGAGAGUCAGGUAAAUGUGAUCAAGGAUGUACUGUUAAGCUUGUCGGUGUCACACAUUAGAAAUGAAAAACACUAGUGUAACAUUUGAUGUUCGUGCUUGUAGAUAGAGCUUAAAUAAAGAUUAAAAAAGCAGGCUUUAGGCGUCUCUCAAUGUACCCUGCCUACUAUCCUGACAUUGUUUGAGUUACAAUUUGCACAUUCUUUAAAUAGUAUAUAAUGUAAUAUAUAAUUGUAUGUACACAUUUUGAAUAAAGUUUGUGAUUAUGAA
Labrus bergylta (ballan wrasse) is the source of this 1876-nucleotide non-coding RNA. The record is from RefSeq and is a predicted model, not a curated record. Lineage: Eukaryota; Metazoa; Chordata; Actinopteri; Labriformes; Labridae.